Molecule: ribosomal RNA, 406 nt
Filed under: uncultured bacterium
Lineage: Bacteria
Description: partial 16S ribosomal RNA
Rfam family: Bacterial small subunit ribosomal RNA
Source: RNAcentral
AUUGAACGCUGGCGGCAGGCCUAACACAUGCAAGUCGAACGAGUGGCGGACGGGUGAGUAAUGUCUGGGAAACUGCCUGAUGGAGGGGGAUAACUACUGGAAACGGUGGCUAAUACCGCAUACCAUCGGAUGUACCCAUAUGGGAUUAGCUUGUGGGUGGGGUAAAGGCUCACCAAGGCGACGAUCCCUAGCUGGUCUGAGAGGAUGACCAGCCACACUGGAACUGAGACACGGCCCAGACUCCUACGGGAGGCAGCAGUGGGGAAUAUUGCACAAUGGGCGCAAGCCUGAUGCAGCCAUGCCGCGUGUAUGAAGAAGGCCUUCGGGUUGUAAAGUACUUUCAGCGGGGAGGCGUUACCCGCAGAAGAAGCACCGGCUAACUCCGUGCCAGCAGCCGCGGUAAUUC